Molecule: long non-coding RNA, 1697 nt
Filed under: Heterocephalus glaber (naked mole-rat)
Lineage: Eukaryota; Metazoa; Chordata; Mammalia; Rodentia; Bathyergidae
Description: lncRNA (ENSHGLG00000048895.1)
Source: RNAcentral
UUAAGGUUAAAACUGAAACCUUUCUUUUAAUGAAAUAAAUGUGUAUACAUUCAUACUGCACACUAUACAUUUACUUUAAGACAUUUUUGAAAGAAAAUAAUAAAAUCAAUACAAAUAAUGUGAGUAUUCAGUAACAAAAUAUUCAGGUUUCCCUGGAAUCACAUUGAAUUGAUUGGUUUGGGUCAAUGAAAAUACUGGCUCAUGGUAUACACAGCUUGUUCUCCUCCCAUGAUUAUUGUCGGUAUGCAGGAGGCAAAGGAGGAUCAGAGAAGAAGAUUACAAGGUUUUUCUGAAUUAUUCCAACUGGCUUCUGAAGCUCCUUCACCUUUUGAAGUUGUUUGUAACAACAACAUGCUUCCUGGCUCUGGCGAGGCCAGCUUGUUCCUGCUUGCUCCUAGUAGCAGAGGUGUGAGUCGCUGAGAGCUAUGACCCCCAGUCUCUCCCAGACAUUUGCAGAGGAUCCAUGCACACUGGAGCCAGAGGAGAGGGAAGAAUGCAGAGCCCCUCCUACCUUAAAGACUCACAUGGAACUUGCCUGAGCAAAAAAAUAAAACUAAAAAUCAACAUAAUCUGGUUUACCUCUUAGAUUCAUUUCUAACAGUUUCUUUGUUUGAAGAGUAGGUAAGAACUCUUGUGCAUAUCUCGUAUGUUCCAGAAAUAUAUUUGCCUUUUUCCAUUAGUAAAUUUCUGUAUCAAUGGAUAGAGGACAUACCUCAGGCAUUUGGGAUUUUGUCAUCACACCAACUUUUCUGAAGUUGGGUUUAAGGGUCACCUACUCUGAGGGAGCAGAAUGUGCUGGGGGAGGGGAUUAUCUGAUGCUUGUCAUAGACAGUGGCCACUGAGGCAGCUUCACUCUCAGGACGGUAGCCUGGGAGCUGUAGACCUGGACUCUCUGCAUCGAUUCUAUGUGAAUAAUAAACACAGCUAAACUUUGCUUAAAUGAGAUGGGAGCUGGAAGGUGAUUAAACGGUCAGAAAGAAAAAAAAAAUGUUACAGAAUUUUUUUCAUAUAUUGCAAGCUAUUUAUACUAAUAAUUUCUUUCCCACUCUCCUGCCUCUCACUCAUCACCCAUAACUGAAUCUGCAGCUUCUCUGCUCCCUCAAAGCAUAAUAUUGUGCAGUCCCCAGAUGGUGUUUGGGGUGCUUCUGAGCCUGCUGGAACUUACUAAGGCGCACCUGGAAGAAGCAGCACGUUAUACACUGGCAAGUCUGACAGUAGACUGAUUUAUGAGGCUGCUACUUUUUUGCUGAAUUUAUUUUCAAAUAGGGCCUGUUAUUUUAGCAUGGGCCCUUCAAUCAUGGAUAUGCAAAGUCUACACAAAGACUCCCUAAAGUGCUCAGGGCUGUAUGCAGGAAGUAUUCUGGCACAGCAGUGUACGGUGAUGUGUGUCUGCCAAAAAGGUUUGACUUCAGAGACGACUACUUUAGACAACAUGUUGACUUGUGCGUAGGACAGAGAACAACAGAUUUAUUUGGAUUAUUUUGAUCAGAAGAACAGAGAUGAUAAAGAAAACAUGCAACCUGAGUUUUAACCUUUUCAAAAAGCUUAUCUUUCUAUAUAUAGUUAGAAUUAUGGCCAGAUUGAUAAAUUUCUGUCCAGAAAAUCCUUUCCAUCCCAAAUCAGUCUUUUUGAUUUUCCAAAUUCUUAUACAGCAAAGUUAAACUUUUCCCUAUUUUCUAUUUUUUAUUACAUUAAAG